RNAcentral lists this ribosomal RNA (449 nucleotides) under Alticini sp. IBE-JGZ-01009. RNAcentral's name for it is "partial 16S ribosomal RNA". Lineage: Eukaryota; Metazoa; Arthropoda; Insecta; Coleoptera; Chrysomelidae. The record is from RNAcentral.
UCUUUUUGUUUAUAUUUAAAGUCUAGCCUGCUCACUGUAUAAUUAAUAGCUGCAGUAUUUUGACUGUACUAAGGUAGCAUAAUCAUUAGUUUUUUAAUUAAAAGCUGGAAUGAAAGGUUGAAUGAAAAAAAAAUUUUUUUUAAUUGAAUUAAUUAAAAUUUUAUUUUUAAGUUAAAAAGCUUAAAUUUUUAUUUUAGACGAGAAGACCCUAUAGAGUUUUAUAUUUAAUAUAUUAUAUUAAUUUAGAAUUCAUUUAAUAUAAUAUAUUAAAUAUUGAAUUGGGGUGAUUUAAAAAUUUAAUAAACUUUUUAUUUAUAUUUAUAUUGAUAUAUAAAUUUUUGAUCCUAAAUUUUAGAUUAUAAUAAUAAAUUACCUUAGGGAUAACAGCGUUAUUUUAAUAGAGAGUUCUUAUCGAAAUUAAAGUUUGCGACCUCGAUGUUGGAUUAAAA